GUAGGGAAUAUUGGGCAAUGGAUGCAAGUCUGACCCAGCCAUCCCGCGUGCCGGAAGAAGGCCCUCAGGGUUGUAAACGGCUUUUGACGGUGAAGAAUCGACAGGAUGCGUCCUGUUUUGACGGUAGCCGUUGAAUAAGCACCGGCUAACUCCGUGCCAGCAGCCGCGGUAAUACGGAGGGUGCGAGCGUUGUCCGGAUUUAUUGGGUUUAAAGGGUGCGUAGGCUGGAAGGUCAGUCAGCGGUGAAUAGCUGUCGCUUAACGAUAGUCUUGCCGCAGAUACUUCCUUUCUUGGCUGAGGAGGAGGCCAGUGGAACGGAUGGUGUAGCGGUGAAAUGCAUAGAUAUCAUCCAGAACACCGAUUGCGAAGGCAGGUGGCUGUACCUUAAUCGACGCUGAUGCACGAAAGCAUGGGGAGCAAACAGGAUUAGAAACCCUGGUAGUCC
This 445-nucleotide ribosomal RNA is filed under the name uncultured bacterium. RNAcentral describes it as "partial 16S ribosomal RNA". It matches the Rfam family "Bacterial small subunit ribosomal RNA", at positions 354 to 796 of the family's 1533-position model. The record is from RNAcentral.